UUUUAGCCCAGAUGGCAGCGGCAUCCUUUUCUUGUCACGUUUUUUUUUAAACGGGACAAGAAAAGAUAUAGCGAACAGCUGGAAAUAGC
This 89-nucleotide small RNA is filed under the name Flavobacterium xueshanense. Its description in RNAcentral is "Flavo-1 RNA". It matches the Rfam family "Flavo-1 RNA". The record is from RNAcentral. Lineage: Bacteria; Pseudomonadati; Bacteroidota; Flavobacteriia; Flavobacteriales; Flavobacteriaceae.